GGGUUGCGGACAGUGUCUGGUGGGUAGUUUGACUGGGGCGGUCUCCUCCCAAAGAGUAACGGAGGAGCACGAAGGUUAGCUAAUCCUGGUCGGACAUCAGGAGGUUAGUGCAAUGGCAUAAGCUAGCUUGACUGCGAGCGUGACGGCGCGAGCAGGUGCGAAAGCAGGUCAUAGUGAUCCGGUGGUUCUGAAUGGAAGGGCCAUCGCUCAACGGAUAAAAGGUACUCCGGGGAUAACAGGCUGAUACCGCCCAAGAGUUCAUAUCGACGGCGGUGUUUGGCACCUCGAUGUCGGCUCAUCACAUCCUGGGGCUGAAGUAGGUCCCAAGGGUAUGGCUGUUCGCCAUUUAAAGUGGUACGCGAGCUGGGUUUAGAACGUCGUGAGACAGUUCGGUCCCUAUCUGCCGUGGGCGCUGGAGAAUUGAGGGGGGCUGCUCCUAGUACGAGAGGACCGGAGUGGACGCAUCACUGGUGUUCGGGUUGUCAUGCCAAUGGCAUUGCCCGGUAGCUAAAUGCGGAAGAGAUAAGUGCUGAAAGCAUCUAAGCACGAAACUUGCCCCGAGAUGAGUUCUCCCUGACUCCUUGAGAGUCCUGAAGGAACGUUAAAGACGAUGACGUUGAUAGGUCGGGUGUGUAAGCGUAGCGAUACGUUGAGCUAACCGAUACUAAUGAACCGUGAGGCUUAACCUUACAACGCCGAAGGUGUUU
This 707-nucleotide ribosomal RNA is filed under the name Klebsiella aerogenes. RNAcentral's name for it is "bacterial LSU rRNA". It matches the Rfam family "Bacterial large subunit ribosomal RNA", at positions 2242 to 2925 of the family's 2925-position model. Lineage: Bacteria; Pseudomonadati; Pseudomonadota; Gammaproteobacteria; Enterobacterales; Enterobacteriaceae. The record is from RNAcentral.